AAAGAUUGUUUUAUUUCCUCUUUGGAGGCUUCAGAUGAAAAUAUUUGGAUGAGCAGCUAGUCUCUCAAAGAUUCAUUGGGACGGAAAUAAGCCAUGAGCAGAACUCUUAGUUUCAUCCGAACUGCUGAGGACUGUGUGAAUAGAAUCAGAAGGUUCUCUUUUGACAUGGUUUUGUGACUACAAAAAUGCUUCAAAGAACGGUGAUAGCUUCAGGAGGCCAUUAUCAAAAGAGACCAUCCAAAGCUGUUAAAUGAGCAUGUGAUUUAUAGCAUGGUGACCAUUGGACGUA
Molecule: long non-coding RNA, 289 nt
Filed under: Rattus norvegicus (Norway rat)
Lineage: Eukaryota; Metazoa; Chordata; Mammalia; Rodentia; Muridae
Description: long non-coding RNA NONRATT032668
Source: RNAcentral